This 484-nucleotide ribosomal RNA is filed under the name uncultured bacterium. Its description in RNAcentral is "partial 16S ribosomal RNA". It matches the Rfam family "Bacterial small subunit ribosomal RNA", at positions 30 to 507 of the family's 1533-position model. The record is from RNAcentral.
AUUGAACGCUGGCGGCAGGCCUAACACAUGCAAGUCGAGCGGAUGAAGGGAGCUUGCUCCUGGAUUCAGCGGCGGACGGGUGAGUAAUGCUUAGGAAUCUGCCUGGUAGUGGGGGAUAACGUCCGGAAACGGGCGCUAAUACCGCAUACGUCCUGAGGGAGAAAGUGGGGGAUCUUCGGACCUCACGCUAUCAGAUGAGCCUAGGUCGGAUUAGCUAGUUGGUGGGGUAAAGGCCUACCAAGGCGACGAUCCGUAACUGGUCUGAGAGGAUGAUCAGUCACACUGGAACUGAGACACGGUCCAGACUCCUACGGGAGGCAGCAGUGGGGACUAUUGGACAAUGGGCGAAAGCCUGAUCCAGCCAUGCCGCGUGUGUGAAGAAGGUCUUCGGAUUGUAAAGCACUUUAAGUUGGGAGGAAGGGCAGUAAGUUAAUACCUUGCUGUUUUGACGUUACCAACAGAAUAAGCACCGGCUAACUUCGUG